This 497-nucleotide ribosomal RNA is filed under the name uncultured bacterium. Its description in RNAcentral is "partial 16S ribosomal RNA". It matches the Rfam family "Bacterial small subunit ribosomal RNA", at positions 28 to 507 of the family's 1533-position model. The record is from RNAcentral.
GAUGAACGCUGGCGGCGUGCCUAAUACAUGCAAGUCGAGCGAACAGACGAGGAGCUUGCUCCUUGGACGUUUGCGGCGGACGGGUGAGAAACACGUGGAUAACGUACCUAUAAUACUGGGAUAACUUCGGGAAACCGGAGCUAAUACCGUAUAAUAUAUUGAACCGCAUGGGUCAAUGGUGAAAUACGGUUGUUGUGGCACGUAUAGAGGGAUCCGCGCCGUAUUAGCUAGUUGGUAAGGUAAAGGGUUUGUACGGCAACGAUGCGUAACCGACGUGAGAGGGUGGUCGGCGACCUUGGAAGGGAGCCAGGGUCAAUGCGCCUACGGGAGGCAGCAGUAGGGAAUGUUCCGCAGUGGGCGAAAGCCUGACGGAGUAAGCCGGCGUGAGUUAUAAAGGCCUUGGGAUCGUAAAACUCGGUUAUGAGGGAAGAACAAAUGUGUACGUAACUAUGCACGUCUUGACGGUACCUAAUCAGAAAGCCACGGCUAACUACGUG